GAGCCAGCCCGCAAGGGGGCCUUCAUGGAGGCCCCAUAGAGCCCUGGGCUUCCCAGCGGGUGCCGCCGAGCUGGCUCUGGGCGCACUGGCAGCGCCAGGGGCGCACGAGGCGCUGGGCUCCCGCCGUGUCACUAUCAGAGACAAGAAAGGUCCUGUCUGUGCGCAACAGCUUCUUGGCGCGCUGCCGGGCUCUUCCACCCUGGCCAAGGCACGCAGAGCCCGGCUCCCGGAGACCAAUCCCGCACUUCCCCAAGUCCCCAAAGGUCAGCAAGGGUCAGGGCGCGCUCUGAAGCAACCGCUGGCCAGUAUCCGGCCUCCCGCUCCAGGAAGGACCCCCAGAAGCAAGCAGGGGGAGGAAGGGGAAGUCUGAUGUUAGCUCAAGGACACCCUCCCCUCUUCCUGUUGCCCCUAUAAGACCACUCCUCUUCUCUGGGGCCGGGCUUCAGCAAGCCCUCCCCCUUUCCGCACUAGGCGACCCAAGUCCCUACAGUCUCUCGGUCUAAGCCGACAGCUGCCACGUGGAAGGAGACCCAGGCAGGCCCUCCAGCGCCGCCGGCGCCACCCACUCACACGGGCACCCAGCUGCGAGCCGGGGAACAUGCCCGCCCUCUCUCGCCCGGGGAGGGGGCUCGGGCACCCGCAGGAAGUCCGACGGCCGCUGACUUUAUAAGAGCAGUGGCGGCGGAGGGGCUGGGGGGAGGGUGGGUUUACCGAAGAGAGAAGGAGCCCCAGCACCCACCCCCACCCCCUCCGCCUAGGCCACGGCCGCCGCCGCGGGAGGAGACGGGGCGCGGGCGGCGCGGGGGCGCAGAGCGGCCGGUGAGACCGAGAAAAGCAGGGAGGAGAGGGGACAGGAAGGGCAAGAGAGAAAGGGCGCGAGGGAGCGGAGCAAAGCACGAAUGCCUUCGCCGGAGGGCCUCAGUACUCUCAUCUGUGAAAUGGGGCUUUGCAUUUAGGAGUUCCCGCAGGUCCGUUCGAACUCCGACAAGAGUGUUUCUCUAAACGGAGGCAGUGCAGCAAGAGAGGGCGCCGAGGGCCCAGACCAAAGGGGAAGGAGGGACGCGCUUGGAGAGGCGGGACCCACGGGCUCAGGUAACGGGUCUUUCUUGGGGAGCCUGGAAGUGUCGGUGGGAGCCAGCCGGGUGACUCUCAGAGAACGUUCAGCCCGGGACCCGGACCCCAGCCGCACCCGCUGCUCACCUCUGAUCCGGGGCAAACGCGCCUCCUGUAGCCGCCGACCGGUCGGGGAGCGGCGCGUGCACAAUUUCGGCGUCCGGUGUCCGGCGGGCCCAGCUCGGAACCGCAGCGGCGCUCGGGGCUUCUCUGCGCGCCGGGUCUGGGCGGCCUCGGAGAUUCUGCCGGACAGCCUGGUGUUCUCACCGCCUCGGUCCCAUCGGAAGAAGUCGGGGAACGGGAACCCGGCGGGCGCCACCAAUCCGCGAAAUGAGGCUAGGACGAAGUGGAUCGACGGAGUGAACAGUUGUACUUACAACCGGCCGGGGCUGCACCCCGAGGUCGGGAAGAAACAGCAAGAGCAAAGUCUUAGCAGCAGAAAAUGCACAAGGAGUUCUCUCUGGCAGGAGCACAGUGUCAGGCUCUGAUGCUUUCACUUCUCAAAAUGAAUUACUGGCUCCCAGAACUUCCACAUCAAGGUCAAACUCCUUAGUUUCGCACAAGGGGCCCUAGAAUAAGGACCCCCAUGCUCAAGGCGGUCAUGGAUGGAUCCCUUUGAGAAUGCAAUAAAGUUUUAUGAGUCCAUUCCCUA
This 1765-nucleotide long non-coding RNA is filed under the name Monodon monoceros (narwhal). Its description in RNAcentral is "lncRNA (ENSMMNG00015021995.1)". Lineage: Eukaryota; Metazoa; Chordata; Mammalia; Artiodactyla; Monodontidae. The record is from RNAcentral.